This 513-nucleotide ribosomal RNA is filed under the name uncultured bacterium. Its description in RNAcentral is "bacterial SSU rRNA". It matches the Rfam family "Bacterial small subunit ribosomal RNA", at positions 142 to 638 of the family's 1533-position model. The record is from RNAcentral.
GACAACUUCGGGAAACCGGAGCUAAUACCGGAUGAUGCAGCGGACCCUUUGGGGUACAGUUGUUAAAGCGGGCUUCGGCUCGCACUUUAGGAUGGGCCUGCGGCCGAUUAGCUAGUUGGUAGGGUAAUGGCCUACCAAGGCGAUGAUCGGUAGCUGGUCUGAGAGGAUGAUCAGCCACACUGGGAUUGAGAUACGGCCCAGACCUCUACGGGGGGCAGCAGUAGGGAAUUUUGCGCAAUGGGCGAAAGCCUGACGCAGCAACGCCGCGUGAUCGAUGAAGCUUCUAGGAGCGUAAAGAUCUGUCGUGAGGGAAGAAAAGUUCGGAGGUAAAUAAUUUUCGUUCUUGACGGUACCUCACAAGAAAGCACCGGCUAACUUCGUGCCAGCAGCCGCGGUAAUACGAGGGGUGCUAGCGUUGUCCGGAAUCAUUGGGCGUAAAGGGUCCGUAGGCGGUUUGACAAGUCAAUUGUUAAAUAUAUCGGCUUAACCGAUAGAAUGCAGUUGAAACUGUCA